This 255-nucleotide ribosomal RNA is filed under the name uncultured bacterium. RNAcentral describes it as "partial 16S ribosomal RNA". It matches the Rfam family "Bacterial small subunit ribosomal RNA", at positions 524 to 776 of the family's 1533-position model. The record is from RNAcentral.
UACGUAGGGGGCAAGCGUUGUCCGGAUUUAUUGGGCGUAAAGAGCGUGUAGGCGGCCAGAUAGGUCCGUUGUGAAAACUGGAGGCUUAACCUCCAGCUGUCGAUGGAAACCAUCUGGCUAGAGUCCGGAAGAGGAGAGUGGAAUUCCUGGGUGUAGCGGUGAAAUGGCGCAGAUAUCAGGAAGAACACCCGUGGCGAAGGCGGCUCUCUGGGACGGUACUGACGCUGAGACGCGAAAGCGUGGGGAGCAAACAGG